RNAcentral lists this transfer RNA (66 nucleotides) under Protohermes tonkinensis. RNAcentral's name for it is "tRNA-Cys". It matches the Rfam family "tRNA". Rfam says of the family: Transfer RNA (tRNA) molecules are approximately 80 nucleotides in length. The record is from RNAcentral. Lineage: Eukaryota; Metazoa; Arthropoda; Insecta; Megaloptera; Corydalidae.
AGUCUUAUAGUCAAAAUUAUGAUUUUAGAUUGCAAAUCUAAAGGUAAAGAUUAUAUUUUAAGGCUU